GACGAACGCUGGCGGCGUGCUUAACACAUGCAAGUCGAACGGAAAGGCCCUGCUUUUGUGGGGUGCUCGAGUGGCGAACGGGUGAGUAACACGUGAGUAACCUGCCCUUGACUUUGGGAUAACUUCAGGAAACUGGGGCUAAUACCGGAUAGGAGCUCCUGCUGCAUGGUGGGGGUUGGAAAGUUUCGGCGUUUGGGGAUGGACUCGCGGCUUAUCAGCUUGUUGGUGGGGUAGUGGCUUACCAAGGCUUUGACGGGUAGCCGGCCUGAGAGGGUGACCGGCCACAUUGGGACUGAGAUACGGCCCAGACUCCUACGGGAGGCAGCAGUGGGGAAUAUUGCACAAUGGGCGGAAGCCUGAUGCAGCAACGCCGCGUGCGGGAUGACGGCCUUCGGGUUGUAAACCGCCUUCGCCUGUGACGAAGCGUGAGUGACGGUAAUGGGUAAAGAAGCACCGGCUAACUACGUG
RNAcentral lists this ribosomal RNA (468 nucleotides) under uncultured bacterium. Its description in RNAcentral is "partial 16S ribosomal RNA". It matches the Rfam family "Bacterial small subunit ribosomal RNA", at positions 28 to 507 of the family's 1533-position model. The record is from RNAcentral.